GGAUGUGAGGGCAAUCUGGCUGCAAUAUCUGCCACCCCACUGAUGACCAGGGUUGAUUGGGCUGACCAGGCUGAUUAGACAAGUGUCCCCUUCCUUCCUCACUGCUCCAAGAAUGACCUCCCCCUCGAGAGGAGGCCCAGUCUUGGUCAAGGGUAUCUGAAUAGCUGGGCUUCCCUAAUAGAACACACAAAUAAGCUCUUUCAAAAGGCUAUAUAUUUAAAGAACUUAAGAACGCAGGAGGAAAUACUUUUGAUUAAACAAACAGCAGUAUACAAAAAUCUGUGUACAGAAUGAU
This 295-nucleotide small nuclear RNA is filed under the name Nannospalax galili (Upper Galilee mountains blind mole rat). Its description in RNAcentral is "7SK RNA (ENSNGAG00000004510.1)". It matches the Rfam family "7SK RNA". Rfam says of the family: 7SK was discovered as an abundant small nuclear RNA in the mid-70s but a possible function has only recently been suggested. Two independent studies have found that 7SK RNA binds the CDK9/cyclin T complex (known as elongation factor P-TEFb). P-TEFb activates transcription by phosphorylating the C-terminal domain of RNA polymerase II. The record is from Rfam by way of RNAcentral. Lineage: Eukaryota; Metazoa; Chordata; Mammalia; Rodentia; Spalacidae.